UGGGGAAUUUUGCACAAUGGGGGAAACCCUGAUGCAGCGACGCCGCGUGAUUUAGAAGGCCUUCGGGUUGUAAAAAUCUUUUCUAUGGGAAGAAAAUGACAGUACCAUAGGAAUAAGGACCGGCUAAUUACGUGCCAGCAGCCGCGGUAAUACGUAAGGUCCGAGCGUUGUCCGGAAUCAUUGGGCGUAAAGGGUACGUAGGCGGGUAAGCAAGUUAGAAGUGAAAUCCUAUAGCUAAACUGUAGUAAGCUUUUAAAACUGGUAAUCGUGAGGUAUGGAAGAGAAAGUGGAAUUCGAAGUGUAGCGGUGAAAUGCGCAGAUAUUGGGAUGAAUACCGGUGGCGAAGGCGACUUUCUGGCCAUAACCUGACGCUGAGGUACGAAAGCGUGGGUAGCAAACAGG
RNAcentral lists this ribosomal RNA (402 nucleotides) under bacterium. Its description in RNAcentral is "partial 16S ribosomal RNA". It matches the Rfam family "Bacterial small subunit ribosomal RNA", at positions 355 to 776 of the family's 1533-position model. The record is from RNAcentral.